Molecule: RNase P RNA, 375 nt
Filed under: Plenodomus lingam JN3
Lineage: Eukaryota; Fungi; Ascomycota; Dothideomycetes; Pleosporales; Leptosphaeriaceae
Description: nuclear RNase P
Rfam family: Nuclear RNase P
About the family: Ribonuclease P (RNase P) is a ubiquitous endoribonuclease, found in archaea, bacteria and eukarya as well as chloroplasts and mitochondria. Its best characterised activity is the generation of mature 5'-ends of tRNAs by cleaving the 5'-leader elements of precursor-tRNAs.
Source: Rfam by way of RNAcentral
GCCUCGCCAACGCUGCGUUUCUUUGCACACACACAGACGCUUUCCGAAGCUGUCCUAACAUGCAAAUGAGAAAUUCGGAGUAAUCUUCACUUGUAUCAUGUCCAUCAUGGACUGUACUGCCCGUAAGGGCCUGGCGUGACUCACGUCUGCACUCGGCAUCAGAAAACUCAGGGCCUACGAAGCAGGCUUCAUCUUUCCUCUGGUGGGUGGAGUUUGCAGAGUGGUCACCCUAUGGGAGUCGGUGCGAAGAUUGUGUGCCUUGAACCCGCUUAGGGGAGAGGUGACACUGUAGUACAAUACGCAGCAUGCUUGACCUCGAGUAGCUUCGGCGAAAGAGGGCACGGUAUCAUUCGAUUCUGAUUACUCUGGCAAGGC